CUAUACCAGGCUUUGUCAGCGUUGGGUACUAGGACACUAAUAUAUGUGCCGUCUAAUGCUCCGAGACACCCCUAAAAAGUGGAGAAGCACACAUAUAUCAGCAGAUACUUCAUUGUACAGAUGGCAGCACAAGCAAAGUACGUAUUACUUUUUGAAUUUCUUGAACAGAUGACAGAACAAGCUAUGUAUUUAUAUUCGUACCUUAAACCACUUCCAUCUCGAGUCACUAUCUCCUUCGAGAACAGGUUCUGGCUUGACCAAUAGAAUUACGUGGAGCUUCAAAAUGGCUUUCAAAACAACAUGCACAUAAUGCGAUAUUGUUUGCCCGAAUCUCCAGAAAUUGAAUCGGACAACCAUAUUCUUUUUAUGGUGAGCUAAAAUUGACAA
Molecule: long non-coding RNA, 387 nt
Filed under: Salvia miltiorrhiza (redroot sage)
Lineage: Eukaryota; Viridiplantae; Streptophyta; Magnoliopsida; Lamiales; Lamiaceae
Description: long non-coding RNA (SMIL_LNC004582)
Source: RNAcentral